RNAcentral lists this ribosomal RNA (465 nucleotides) under Vreelandella stevensii. RNAcentral's name for it is "partial 16S ribosomal RNA". It matches the Rfam family "Bacterial small subunit ribosomal RNA", at positions 338 to 795 of the family's 1533-position model. The record is from RNAcentral. Lineage: Bacteria; Pseudomonadati; Pseudomonadota; Gammaproteobacteria; Oceanospirillales; Halomonadaceae.
CCUACGGGGCGCAGCAGUGGGGAAUAUUGGACAAUGGGCGAAAGCCUGAUCCAGCCAUGCCGCGUGUGUGAAGAAGGCCUUCGGGUUGUAAAGCACUUUCAGUGGGGAAGAAAGCCUUGGGGCUAAUACCCUCGAGGAAGGACAUCACCCACAGAAGAAGCACCGGCUAACUCCGUGCCAGCAGCCGCGGUAAUACGGAGGGUGCGAGCGUUAAUCGGAAUUACUGGGCGUAAAGCGCGCGUAGGCGGUCUGAUAAGCCGGUUGUGAAAGCCCCGGGCUCAACCUGGGAACGGCAUCCGGAACGGUCAGGCUAGAGUGCAGGAGAGGAAGGUAGAAUUCCCGGUGUAGCGGUGAAAUGCGUAGAGAUCGGGAGGAAUACCAGUGGCGAAGGCGGCCUUCUGGACUGACACUGACGCUGAGGUGCGAAAGCGUGGGUAGCAAACAGGAUUAGAUACCCGGGUAGUC